GACCUUGCAGCUCAGUUGGCAGAGCAUUGGGCUAGUAUCUCAAAGGUCGCGGGCUCGAUUCCCACCAUGGUCA
This is a non-coding RNA of Paramuricea clavata, 73 nucleotides long. Lineage: Eukaryota; Metazoa; Cnidaria; Anthozoa; Malacalcyonacea; Plexauridae. The record is from the annotation of a GenBank genome assembly.